ACGCUGAGGCUCGAAAGUAAUGGGGAGCGAACAGGAUUAGAUACCCUGGUAGUCCAUACCGUAAAACGAUGAAUGCUAAGUGUUGGAGGGUUUCCGCCCUUCAGUGCUGCAGCUAACGCAUUAAGCAUUCCGCCUGGGGAGUACGACCGCAAGGUUGAAACUCAAAGGAAUUGACGGGGGCCCGCACAAGCGGUGGAGCAUGUGGUUUAAUUCGAAGCAACGCGAAGAACCUUACCAGGUCUUGACAUCCUUUGACCACUGUAGAGAUACAGCUUUCCCUUCGGGGACAAAGUGACAGGUGGUGCAUGGUUGUCGUCAGCUCGUGUCGUGAGAUGUUGGGUUAAGUCCCGCAACGAGCGCAACCCUUAUGACUAGUUGCCAGCAUUUAGUUGGGCACUCUAGUAAGACUGCCGGUGACAAACCGGAGGAAGGUGGGGAUGACGUCAAAUCAGCAUGCCCCUUAUGACCUGGGCUACACACGUGCUACAAUGGUCGGUACAACGAGUUGCGAACCCGCGAGGGUAAGCUAAUCUCUUAAAGCCGAUCUCAGUUCGGAUUGUAGGCUGCAACUCGCCUACAUGAAGCCGGAAUCGCUAGUAAUCGCGGAUCAGCACGCCGCGGUGAAUACGUUCCCGGGCCUUGUACACACCGCCCGUCACACCAUGAGAGUUUGUAACACCCGAAGUCGGUGGGGUAACCCUUUUAGGGAACUAGCCGCCUAAG
RNAcentral lists this ribosomal RNA (723 nucleotides) under Loigolactobacillus coryniformis subsp. torquens. RNAcentral describes it as "bacterial SSU rRNA". It matches the Rfam family "Bacterial small subunit ribosomal RNA", at positions 743 to 1461 of the family's 1533-position model. Lineage: Bacteria; Bacillati; Bacillota; Bacilli; Lactobacillales; Lactobacillaceae. The record is from RNAcentral.